This 765-nucleotide ribosomal RNA is filed under the name uncultured Streptococcus sp. Its description in RNAcentral is "bacterial SSU rRNA". It matches the Rfam family "Bacterial small subunit ribosomal RNA", at positions 28 to 776 of the family's 1533-position model. Lineage: Bacteria; Bacillati; Bacillota; Bacilli; Lactobacillales; Streptococcaceae. The record is from RNAcentral.
GACGAACGCUGGCGGCGUGCCUAAUACAUGCAAGUAGAACGCUGAAGAGAGGAGCUUGCUCUUCUUGGAUGAGUUGCGAACGGGUGAGUAACGCGUAGGUAACCUGCCUUGUAGCGGGGGAUAACUAUUGGAAACGAUAGCUAAUACCGCAUAACAAUGGAUGACUCAUGUCAUUUAUUUGAAAGGGGCGAAUGCUCCACUACAAGAUGGACCUGCGUUGUAUUAGCUAGUAGGUGAGGUAACGGCUCACCUAGGCGACGAUACAUAGCCGACCUGAGAGGGUGAUCGGCCACACUGGGACUGAGACACGGCCCAGACUCCUACGGGAGGCAGCAGUAGGGAAUCUUCGGCAAUGGGGGCAACCCUGACCGAGCAACGCCGCGUGAGUGAAGAAGGUUUUCGGAUCGUAAAGCUCUGUUGUAAGUCAAGAACGAGUGUGAGAGUGGAAAGUUCACACUGUGACGGUAGCUUACCAGAAAGGGACGGCUAACUACGUGCCAGCAGCCGCGGUAAUACGUAGGUCCCGAGCGUUGUCCGGAUUUAUUGGGCGUAAAGCGAGCGCAGGCGGUUUGAUAAGUCUGAAGUUAAAGGCUGUGGCUCAACCAUAGUUCGCUUUGGAAACUGUCAAGCUUGAGUGCAGAAGGGGAGAGUGGAAUUCCAUGUGUAGCGGUGAAAUGCGUAGAUAUAUGGAGGAACACCGGUGGCGAAAGCGGCUCUCUGGUCUGUAACUGACGCUGAGGCUCGAAAGCGUGGGGAGCGAACAGG